ACGCACGCUGGCGGCGUGCCUAAUACAUGCAAGUCGAACGCAUUUUCUUUCACCGUAGCUUGCUACACCGAAAGAAAAUGAGUGGCGAACGGGUGAGUAACACGUGGGUAACCUGCCCAUCAGCGGGGGAUAACACUUGGAAACAGGUGCUAAUACCGCAUAAUUCCAUUUACUGCAUGGUAGAUGGAUGAAAGGCGCUUUUGCGUCACUGAUGGAUGGACCCGCGGUGCAUUAGCUAGUUGGUGGGGUAACGGCCUACCAAGGCUGCGAUGCAUAGCCGACCUGAGAGGGUGAUCGGCCACACUGGGACUGAGACACGGCCCAGACUCCUACGGGAGGCAGCAGUAGGGAAUCUUCGGCAAUGGACGCAAGUCUGACCGAGCAACGCCGCGUGAGUGAAGAAGGUUUUCGGAUCGUAAAACUCUGUUGUUAGAAAAGAACAAGGAUGAGAGUGGAAAGUUCAUCCCUUGACGGUAUCUAACCAGAAAGCCACGGCUAACUACGUG
Molecule: ribosomal RNA, 506 nt
Filed under: uncultured bacterium
Lineage: Bacteria
Description: partial 16S ribosomal RNA
Rfam family: Bacterial small subunit ribosomal RNA
Source: RNAcentral